AUUGAAAAUGAAAAUGCGGGAGACAAGCCGUAUCCUGCUUAUAUAUUUAUAUGCCACUGCCUGGUUUUUAAAACUGUAGCAUAGUUACAAAAAAUAAUAAUUUUUCCUUUCCUUUAAAUUCUUUUCCCCUCCUCUCCUUGGGAUGGAAUCAGAGGAAUCUGAGCAAUCAGAGGAAUCGGGGGAGGUAGAGGGAAGGAGGAGGAAGAUGAAGACCAAGAGAGG
Non-coding RNA from Pelobates cultripes (western spadefoot toad), 222 nucleotides. Lineage: Eukaryota; Metazoa; Chordata; Amphibia; Anura; Pelobatidae. The record is from the annotation of a GenBank genome assembly.